RNAcentral lists this ribosomal RNA (449 nucleotides) under uncultured bacterium. RNAcentral describes it as "partial 16S ribosomal RNA". It matches the Rfam family "Bacterial small subunit ribosomal RNA", at positions 29 to 523 of the family's 1533-position model. The record is from RNAcentral.
AACGAACGCUGGCGGCAUGCCUAACACAUGCAAGUCGAACGAGAUCUUCGGGUCUAGUGGCGCACGGGUGCGUAACGCGUGGGAAUCUGCCCUUUGGUUCGGAAUAACAGUUGGAAACGACUGCUAAUACCGGAUGAUGACGAAAGUCCAAAGAUUUAUCGCCAGAGGAUGAGCCCGCGUAGGAUUAGCUAGUUGGUGUGGUAAAGGCGCACCAAGGCGACGAUCCUUAGCGGGUCUGAGAGGAUGAUCAGCCACACUGGGACUGGGACACGGCCCAGACUCCUACGGGAGGCAGCAGUGGGGAAUAUUGGACAAUGGGCGCAAGCCUGAUCCAGCCAUGCCGCGUGAGUGAUGAGGGCCCUAGGGUUGUAAAGCUCUUUCACCGGUGAAGAUAAUGACGGUAACCGGAGAAGAAGCCCCGGCUAACUUCGUGCCAGCCGCCGCUGUAA